ACUCAACGCCGGCAACCGUACCGGGAUAAGACAUAAGGAGGAAUGACAGGCUGAUCGCUCUUUCUUGAUUUUAUGGGUGGUGGUGCAUGGCCGUUCUUAGUUGGUGGAGUAGAUUUGUCUGGUUAAUUCCGUUAACGAACGAGACCUUAACUGGCUAAUUAGGAUUUUUAUUUCAUAUUUUAUCCUUCUUACAAAGACGGUGAAUUUAUAAUUCAAGGAAGCUGGAGGCUUUACCCGGUCUGUGAUCCCCAAUGCCCA
This 258-nucleotide ribosomal RNA is filed under the name uncultured marine eukaryote. Its description in RNAcentral is "partial 18S ribosomal RNA". It matches the Rfam family "Eukaryotic small subunit ribosomal RNA", at positions 1198 to 1483 of the family's 1831-position model. The record is from RNAcentral.